Oryza sativa Japonica Group (Japanese rice) is the source of this 199-nucleotide microRNA precursor. It matches the Rfam family "MIR812 microRNA precursor family". The record is from Rfam. NCBI's taxonomy places the organism in Eukaryota, Viridiplantae, Streptophyta, Magnoliopsida, Poales, Poaceae.
AAUAAGUGCAGUUUUGCACUAUUCAUCUCCAACGUUUGACCGUUUGUCUUAUUUGAAAAAUUUUUAUAAUUACUAUUUUUAUUGUUAUUAGAUGAUAAAACAUGAAUAGUCAUUUAUGUGUGACUAAUUUUUUUUAUAAAUUUUUCAAAUAAGACGGACGGUCAAACGUUGGACAUGGAUUUUCAUGGUUGCACUUAUU